Molecule: ribosomal RNA, 159 nt
Filed under: Triticum aestivum (bread wheat)
Lineage: Eukaryota; Viridiplantae; Streptophyta; Magnoliopsida; Poales; Poaceae
Description: partial small subunit ribosomal RNA
Source: RNAcentral
AAGAAAGCCAUUGUAUUUGUUCUGAUGCUUGUCAUGUGGGAAAUGUGGAAGGAGCAGAACGCAAGAGUCUUUCGCAACACGGCUUCACCGAACACCAUUAUUGAUGCUAAGAUCAAAGAGAAGGCCCAUCUUUGGGUGUUGGCGGGAGCCAAAACCUGA